UGAGAGUGUUGAGGGGGUGCAGGAGUUGGGGUGCAACGUUAGGAGGGCGACGCAGCCCUAUAGGGGUGCAACAUUAGGAAGCUGAUGCAGCCCUAUAGGGGUGCGAGUCUGAGUGGGGCUGCGUGCCUUGGGGUGCAUGGAGGAGGGCGUACACUGCGGGGGGGUGCAGGAUUUUAGGGUGUGUGCUUGCAGAUAGGGCAGGGGGGGGCAUGGGGUGCCCCCAGGGUGGAGCAGCGUGGGGCGGCCACGGGGUCGGGGGCGUCAGUGGGGUGCGGGUGUGCACAGACAGGAGAGUAAACGAGGGGAGGGGGAGUCACGGGAUGGGCUGUGGGGGAAGGGGCUGCGCCAUGGGGACGGCGCGGGGGCACAGCGAUGUGGGGGUGGAGGGAAGGGCCCCCCACCCUAUGGCCACGGCGCGG
Molecule: long non-coding RNA, 419 nt
Filed under: Gallus gallus (chicken)
Lineage: Eukaryota; Metazoa; Chordata; Aves; Galliformes; Phasianidae
Description: lncRNA (ENSGALG00010020825.1)
Source: RNAcentral